Molecule: ribosomal RNA, 485 nt
Filed under: Maladera unguicularis
Lineage: Eukaryota; Metazoa; Arthropoda; Insecta; Coleoptera; Scarabaeidae
Description: partial 16S large subunit ribosomal RNA
Rfam family: Bacterial large subunit ribosomal RNA
Source: RNAcentral
UUUAAAGUCUAAUCUGCCCUAUGAGUAAUUAAAUGGCCGCGGUACUCUGACCGUGCAAAGGUAGCAUAAUAAUUAGUUUUUUAAUUGAAAGCUGGAAUGAAUGAUUGGACGAGAAAAUUACUGUCUCAAUUUAAUUUUAUUAGAAUUUUAUUUUUAAGUAAGAAAGCUUAAAUUUUGUUAAAAGACGAGAAGACCCUAUAGAGUUUUAUAAUUAUUUUAUUAUUGGUUUUUUAGAAUUAUUUUAUUAAUAAUAAAUUAAUUAUUUUAUUGGGGCGAUAGAGAAAUAUAAUUAACUUUUUUUAAAUUUUAACAUUAAUUUAUGUUUAAAUGAUCCAUUAAUUAUGAUUAAAAGAUUAAGUUACCUUAGGGAUAACAGCGUAAUUUUUUUUUAGAGUUCUUAUCGAAAGAAAAGGUUGCGACCUCGAUGUUGGAUUAAAAUUAAUAUUUGGUGUAGGAGCUAAAUUAUUAGGUCUGUUCGACCUUAA